This is an RNA transcript of Mus musculus (house mouse), 1522 nucleotides long. It is a transcript of the gene named predicted pseudogene 7931, with no coding region annotated. NCBI's taxonomy places the organism in Eukaryota, Metazoa, Chordata, Mammalia, Rodentia, Muridae. The record is from RefSeq and is marked validated. The transcript is spliced from 3 exons.
ACAGGUCAAGCAGUGGGCUGCUUUAGCUACGCUUGCUUGAUAAGGGAAACCACCGUGAUUAGGCCAAACAGCUAAGCGCUGAAUCAAUAGACUGAGUGAAUUGUACUUGGACAACAAUCGUUACUUCUCUACAUUCAAUUACUGCAGUUUUGAAUUAUCGGAACGCUGAGAGAGAUUUAUGCUCUGGGAAGGAUGGAUAAAAGUCCCAAAGCCUCCCUAUUUCCUGAGAGGCAAGUGCUUACUACGUAAGUCCAGACGGCAGUUACUUAGGAGACGAGCCAGACAUGAGGAUGCAGCUGAUGAUGGACUCUUUUCAAAUGGGAACAAAAGGUGAAAUCGGAGGAAGCAGCGAGGACGACCCCCGGACGGAGCAAACCCGCGCGCCGCUGUAUCCCCGUGCUCAGCGCCGACGUCCCCUGCCGCCACCAUGCCCAAAAGAAAGGCUGAAGGGGAUGCUAAAGGAGACAAAAUCAAGGUGAAGGACGAGCCACAGAGAAGAUCUGCGAGGUUGUCUGCUAAACCUGCUCCUCCAAAGCCAGAGCCCAAACCUAAAAAGGCCCCUGCGAAGAAGGGAGAGAAGGUACCCAAGGGGAAGAAGGGGAAAGCUGAUGCCGGGAAAGAUGCGAAUAAUCCUGCAGAAAAUGGAGAUGCCAAAACAGACCAGGCACAGAAAGCUGAAGGUGCUGGAGAUGCCAAGUGAUGUGUGUGCAUUUUUGAUAACUGUGUACUUCUGGUGACUGUACAGUUUGAAAUACUAUUUUUUAUCAAGUUUUAUAAAAAUGCAGAAUUUCGUUUUACUUUUUUUUUUUUAAGCUAUAUUGUUAGCACACAGAACACUUCAUUACUGGGUGGGGGAAGGAUCAUGUGUCAGUAACAAAAUCUCUCCCAAGCUGGAUUGAGGACAGAAAACCUCUUUCCCUGAUAAUUUUGGAAGGCUCCUGUUGGCUCCCAGGAGAGAGAUCCUGGUUUGACCUAGGUGGCCACCAAGGCACAACAAUGCCUUGUGGUCUGGGAAAACUAUAAAUUCACUUUUAUAUCCUCUUCCCCCUGUACUAUCAACAUAGACUUAAUUCCCUUAAAAACCAGAGACCUGUUGGAACCUGGCCCCCAAAAUUGGUUUCCCAGUCCAUUGAGUGAUGUGGACUUUGCAGUGACUUCAUCGAGAGUUCUCAGAAGAGCACUGGUUCCUUUUAUAAAGGAUUGUGGAUCUUCAGAUUGAUAAUUCUGCCUAAAAGUCAGGGUCGGCUUGUGAAAAGUUGUUAAAACAACAUCCUUAAUGUGAAAUGUCAACCCUCACUCUAAGCUACUUCCCCCUUUUCAAAGCAUUGAAUGAAGACUUCAUUGGGUUUUAUAGUGGCUUUCUGAUUUUGGUAGUCUAUACAAGAAGGGAAUUUGGAAGUUCUUGUAUAUUGUUGAUUGUCUGCCCAUGUCCUGCCUGAAAUACCAUGAUUGUUUAUGAAAAGAAUCUUUAAUAAAGCUGGUUACAGUUAGGCUUGGAAAAAAAAAAAAAAGGUGAAAUCAA